This 89-nucleotide transfer RNA is filed under the name Bacteroides uniformis. RNAcentral's name for it is "tRNA-OTHER". It matches the Rfam family "tRNA". From Rfam's summary of the family: Transfer RNA (tRNA) molecules are approximately 80 nucleotides in length. Their secondary structure includes four short double-helical elements and three loops (D, anti-codon, and T loops). Lineage: Bacteria; Pseudomonadati; Bacteroidota; Bacteroidia; Bacteroidales; Bacteroidaceae. RNAcentral also lists the same sequence under 1 other name. The record is from RNAcentral.
GUUGGUGUCGUUUAAACGGAUUAAGACAGUAGCAGCAUAUGCAAUCGGGUCGACUGCUGCAGAUGCAGGUUCAAGUCCUGUCACCAGCA